RNAcentral lists this ribosomal RNA (526 nucleotides) under Paenibacillus sp. VT-400. RNAcentral describes it as "bacterial LSU rRNA". It matches the Rfam family "Bacterial large subunit ribosomal RNA", at positions 172 to 695 of the family's 2925-position model. The record is from RNAcentral. Lineage: Bacteria; Bacillati; Bacillota; Bacilli; Caryophanales; Paenibacillaceae.
UGCAGAGGCAUACCAGGGGAACUGAAACAUCUAAGUACCCUGAGGAAGAGAAAACAAUAGUGAUUCCGUCAGUAGCGGCGAGCGAACGCGGAGAAGCCCAAACCAAGGAGCUUGCUCUUUGGGGUUGUGGGACGUCUCACAUGGAGUUACAAAGGAACCGGUUAAGCGAAGAGGUCUGGAAAGGCCCGCCAAAGAAGGUAAAAGCCCUGUAGUUGAAAGUCUGUUCCCUCCGAGACGGAUCCCGAGUAGUGCGGGGCACGUGAAACCCCGUAUGAAUCCGGCAGGACCAUCUGCCAAGGCUAAAUACUUCCUAGCGACCGAUAGUGAAGCAGUACCGUGAGGGAAAGGUGAAAAGCACCCCGGAAGGGGAGUGAAAUAGAACCUGAAACCGUGUGCUUACAAAAAGUCAGAGCCCGUUUUAGGGGUGAUGGCGUGCCUUUUGUAGAAUGAACCGGCGAGUUACGUUCCCGUGCAAGGUUAAGGUGAAGAGCCGGAGCCGCAGCGAAAGCGAGUCUGAAUAGGGCGA